CGCUAUCACUCCUACGGGAGCAGCAGUGGGGAAUAUUGCACAAUGGGCGCAAGCCUGAUGCAGCAACGCCGUGUGAGUGAAGAAGGUUUUCGGAUCGUAAAACUCUGUCCUAAGGGAAGAAAAAUGACGGUACCUUAGGAGGAAGCCCCGGCUAACUACGUGCCAGCAGCCGCGGUAAUACGUAGGGGCAAGCGUUAUCCGGAAUCACUGGGCGUAAAGGGUGCGUAGGCGGCUUAGCAAGCCAGGGGUGAAAGGCAUUGGCUCAACCAAUGUAAGCCUUUGGAACUGUUAAGCUUGAGUGCAGGAGAGGUAAGUGGAAUUCCUAGUGUAGAGGUGAAAUUCGUAGAUAUUAGGAGGAACACCAGUGGCGAAGGCGACUUACUGGACUGUAACUGACGCUGAUGCACGAAAGCGUGGGUAGCGAACAGGAUUAGAUACCCUGGUAG
This 446-nucleotide ribosomal RNA is filed under the name uncultured bacterium. Its description in RNAcentral is "bacterial SSU rRNA". It matches the Rfam family "Bacterial small subunit ribosomal RNA", at positions 328 to 793 of the family's 1533-position model. The record is from RNAcentral.